Molecule: non-coding RNA, 137 nt
Organism: Planctomycetes bacterium GWF2_42_9
Lineage: Bacteria; Pseudomonadati; Planctomycetota
Source: Rfam
CCUGCUGUUCUGCCAGCAGUAACCUAGCCAGACGUGCGGUUGAAGUAAUUCGACGGUGCGGAGCUCUGGUAACAAAGUAGCCCAUAGGACAAAUCGUGAGAUGAGUCCGAUUUGCAAGCACGAAUGUAAAUGGGAGC